This is a long non-coding RNA of Phlebotomus papatasi, 504 nucleotides long. RefSeq lists it as uncharacterized. The record is from RefSeq and is a predicted model, not a curated record. NCBI's taxonomy places the organism in Eukaryota, Metazoa, Arthropoda, Insecta, Diptera, Psychodidae. The transcript has 2 exons.
CUGACCAAAGUUAACAACCAACAGCUCUGGGUACCAGAAUGUUAACAGCGCUGGUAACAGUUUUGGGCCAGUGGAAAGUAGCAUUGAGUUGGCCUAAAAUUGUUACCAACGCUGGCAAGUUUUUAAGGUACAGCACACGAGUAGCGUAACGGCGAAUUUCGUAACUAAAACGCGUCUUGUUCAGGAUGACAUCUGGACAUUUUCCACCGCGGAAAAUGUAUAAAAUUUAGUUUUUUGCGGUAUCUUAGUGGAAAACUUUUCUUCUGAAAGGAUGAAUCACAUGAACCUGUGGGCCUGAAAGCGGAUUUGGGAAAGUCUAGCACGGAGAAAAUUCCGACAGAUCAUCCCAAAGGCAAGAGACAAGAGGCAAGGAGGCAAGAGACAAGACAGCAACAGACAGCUUGAGAAUAAGUGCAACAAUUCCUGCCUCAUUCGGUAUUUUUAAGAUAUUGUGAUUUUCUUUAUUUUUUUUAUAUGAAAUAAAAUGUAAUUUAAUUAAAAAAA